GAUGAGAGAAGGGAAAAUGGUUCUGAGUCAGACAUUUCUCUAAAACAACAGUUCUAAGCGAUGGCAACCGAUGUGCUCACUGAGGGGCCUGAAGGACUGGAACCUGCGCUCUGCCCUCACAUGUUCUGGCAAAACUCCUGAGAGGUGAUGGAAGUCCUGGCCUGUCAGAACUUGUUCUUUGUGACAACAGGGCUGACACAUACUCUUCAAAUAUUUUGGUUUUCUAUUUCUUAAAAUUCUCUAAAUUUAAAGGAAGCAAACAUGGGUUAUCAGACUGCUGCAGGAAGCACCUUACCUACCAAACUGUCUCACCUGCACUGAAUCCGCAGAUAUUUCUGAGAUGAAUGCACUAUGAAGGGAAAGUCAUUGAAGCCUCCUUCAGACCUCUGGUUCAGUUGUUCCACUCUGAACAUCCGAGCCUUCUUCUCUGGUCCAAUCAAAGCACCACUUUUCCUUUAUUUUAUUCUGAUGCCUACACACAAACUCCAAGAUAUUAUACUCUUGUAAGUAUACUUAGAUAUUUAUAUUCACCCCCCCUCAUUUGAUUUGGAGUCUUUAUUCAUAAUUAAAGGGAUUUAACUACAGAA
Mastomys coucha (southern multimammate mouse) is the source of this 587-nucleotide long non-coding RNA. RefSeq lists it as uncharacterized. The record is from RefSeq and is a predicted model, not a curated record. The transcript is spliced from 3 exons. NCBI's taxonomy places the organism in Eukaryota, Metazoa, Chordata, Mammalia, Rodentia, Muridae.